UUUUUCUUUGGUAUGUAAUACCAAGUAGGAAAACCAAAACAAUGAGUAUUUUAUAGAGAAGAUUUUUUAUCAUAAAAUUUUUUGUAUAGUGACUUACCACCAAGUCUUAUAAAUAGAAGGUAAUUACAAUUCCAAGUCACAAAUUUUGUUGCAAAUGCCUAAUAGUAAUGAUCUAACUUGGCAUCAUCUAGAAGUGCUUGUACUCCUUCAAAAAUAGUUUGCAUCAUAUAUUCUGCCAUGCUAACAAUUUCAUGUGUAUAUACAAGAGUGAUCAUGUGCCAAAUGCCACUAACUUUGUAAUAAGAACCAAGCUUACUAUUUAAGAAUUGAGUGUCUUAGUUAAUAAAAAAAAGUUUUUAUCUUUCUUCUAAUUCUUCUUUGUUCCUCUACUUCCCAAGUCUUCUAAGCAACAUGUACUUGGUCCUUAAUUUGAAGAAAUGCAAGGCU
This 447-nucleotide long non-coding RNA is filed under the name Physcomitrium patens. Its description in RNAcentral is "long non-coding RNA (PPAT_LNC003361)". Lineage: Eukaryota; Viridiplantae; Streptophyta; Bryopsida; Funariales; Funariaceae. The record is from RNAcentral.